RNAcentral lists this long non-coding RNA (3332 nucleotides) under Marmota monax (woodchuck). The record is from RNAcentral. Lineage: Eukaryota; Metazoa; Chordata; Mammalia; Rodentia; Sciuridae.
GCUGUGGUGACGUCGAUGGGUCUCUGGAGGGUCCCUUCCCUCUUCUCUCAGUCCCCAGGUCUGUGCUUCCCUGUGCCUGACACGUGGGCCCCAGGCCUCAACUUCCUCACUCCCUAAGGGAGCAGCGACUUGAGCUGUCUUGGGCGGCCGAGGAGAAGGUGCCGGUGGCUCGCUGGGGAGGCCCGGCACCCAGCAGACUCGGAGUGCACUUCGGCUUCCAGAAGGUGCCCCUUGAGGAGCUGCAUUCUUUGAUUCUAGUUGUAAGUGACUAUGCCCCACUUUCUGCCUGGUGGGGAGGAGGGUUAGGAGAAUGCAGUAAAUGUCAGAGAUGAGGGGAGUUGGGUUUUUUCCUUUAAACAAACGGUUUAGGAGGAACUCGGUGGGAGUAACAGAAGACCCUUAAACAUGACUCACCCCCUCCUCUGCCCUCCCGGGUUCUAGGAAAAGCAGAGUCCCAGACUUGACCAAGCACGACAAAGGCCCAGUGAUACCAUCUCUCAGUCCACUCAGUGGAGUUAGCUGAAAAACACUGUAUUUAAUUAGCAUCUACUCUCCAACCUUGUAAAUGUGAGCGGAGAGCUACGCCUGACAGCUGACCUGACAGGCCCAGGACGGGAACAUCCCAGGCAACACAGAAGGCAGGGACUGUCUUAAAAAUGUGAAUGAUCCUAUUGCCUCCAAGGAGCCUGGCGGACUCUUUGUGUGCUUCUCUGAAGGCGAGACUGCAUCAUGAGAUUACUCCCAAUUACUCAGCACAGAGGCGAAGACAAUUUGGGCUCUGUAAACACGAGGCCAGGUAGGUAUGUGUCUGCAUGAGCAAUGGAGUGCAGAGAAAGCUCAUUUGGAGGGAAAGCUAUUUAGAGCAAAGAGAAUUUUUGUUUUCAUGUUUCUUUUGCCUUGAGUCUGAGUGAAUUAAAGGCCAAGAUUGGGUUUGGCGACCCGAGUCCCCGGUCCCUAAGCACUCAGCAAUCAUCACAGCAGCCGAUGGAUUUCGAUGAAAGUUAAAUGAAAACACCCUUUGUUUUUGCUUUCUCUUUCCAGGAUUGGAGUCAGGAUAGAAAACUUUCAUAUGCUGUGUUUAUUAGUUCAUUCUGACGUUGGUCCGCAGGGUCUGAUGGGAAUAUCUUGAUGUAAUACUGACAUUUGACUCUCAUGAGGUUUGUCCUUAGAGUCUUUAAUCCAUGACCCAUUGAUUACUUUCUGGCCGGUUUGGAAGCUUUGUUCUUCCUGAGAAGAGGAGACGGUGUGAACCUGGGCCAUGUGGAGGGGGGGUGGAAACGGCUUCUCCUGUGCAGACUUCCCUGCUGCCCAGUGGAGCCACUGCCACCUUUAUAUGUUCUUGGUUCUCUUUCCUGGCCUCAUCACCCUUCUGUGGCCAAUUCAGGGUCCCACCCGUCCAUAGACGGCACAGCAGUGAUCCAAGUGGGUGUGGGUUUUUCCUGAUGGACCUCAUUCAACUUCUGAGAGUGUGAAGGGCCUGGGCCAGAGGAAGGGCACCCCACUAACCCGGAGAAGGUUGGGAAUGGCAGCAUCUCUGUGCAGCUCUGCGUCCUAGGCAUUGGCCUUGCUGUGCUCACGAAGCUCACCUUGCCACUCACUUCACCUCGAGUGACCACCAGAUACUAGUAAACAAAACAGUCCUUCCCUAGCAAUGCCGGGCACCCCAGGGACGUGGUGCGAGGACGGAGCCUGGCCGAGGGGCUUCACGCUCUCCUACGCCGGCCCUCCUCAGCCGGCCUUCCUGCUUCUAUCUGGAGCCUUCCCUGACAGUGAGGGGGAACUGCCCCAUGGGGUGAAGGAGGAGGCUGCACCUGACGUCAGAGGGUGGGGGCAUCAGCGGCCUCAGGAUUGAGUGCGUCCAGUCUGCAGAUGACCAUGCCAUGAUCCACGGACUCCAGGACUCCAGGCACCUCUGGACACGUGCUGUUCCCUUGCAUGAAUGUGUUCCAUUCCUUACAGCAUCACUUAGGCUGCCGUAGAAGGGAGUGAUUGCUAGGAAGGACCAGGCGUUGGCCAAGUGAAUGCAACACCUCACACUGCACUGAGCUCCGAUACAGACUAGCUGGGUCCUCCCAGAUCCACAGCCUCACCCUCAAUGCAAUUUGUCUAGAAAUUACUCCAAAUAUUUUAGUUGGAGCCCCUUUCAGCUCAGUCUGAGCCUCUGAGAUGCACCCUAAUCCUUCUCUUGAACACGCCACCACUUCCCAGGGCAGAAGGGUGCUCUAGAAUUGGGGUGCGGCUCAGCAAGGAUGUGCUUGCCUGGCUGCACAAAGCCCUGGGUUCCAUCUCCAGCACCACAAAAAUAAAGAAAAUUAAAAACAGAAGGCUGUUCUGGGCUUCUCCUGUACUUCCUGUGCCUUGCUCUGCAAUUAUCCACCUCACAAAGAACUUUUGAAAAUGUCAUCUCUGUUGAUUUUCCUGGGGCUCUAUUACCAAAAUGGCAUUCACGCUUCAAGAAUUAAGAGAUUCAGAUUCAGAGCCAUGUUGGGAGGGUUGGGUUCACUUCCAGCUGCCCUAGCCAUGUCCUCUAUGGGGACGCAUACCUGUAUCAUUCCAUGAAGGGUUGGUCCUAUUUUCAGGUUCCAAAGCGUUUGUGAGGCAAUGCCUAAAAUUUAAAGCAAUAGCAGCAAAAAGACUCAGUUCCCAAGAGUAGAAGGAAGGGUGGAAUACGUGAAAAUCAAAUGCAGGGCUGGGAUUGUGGCUCCGUGGCCGAGCGCUUGCCUUGCAAGUGUGAGGCACUGGGUUCUAUCCUCAGCAACACAUGAAAAUUAAUAAAUAAAAUGAAGUUACUGUGUCCAUCAACAACUAAAACAUAUUUUUAAAAAAUCAGAUGCAAUUAUUUGAAGUUCAGUUCAAAUUAAUUGUCGUUCAUUUUCCUGUUAUGACUUAUUUCCUUUGGGGAGAUUGGGGAUGUGAAGGACCUAGUAUUUUUAGGAAUCACCUACCUGCAUAAUCAUGAAACAAUCCGAUGGCUUUGUUUAGUUUCAGUGCUAAGGAUGGAGACCAGGGCCUUGUACAUGCUGCAUAGGCAAGUGAUCUACCACUGAGCCACAUCCCAAACCAAGAUCUUAGAUAUAUGACAUGUGCCAUCUCAAUUAGAGGUGAAAACUUUUUGACUUCAAAGACUUAUAAGGUGACACAGGAGGCAUUUGUUAUAGUGUGGGUGUGAGGUGUCUUCAAAAGCUCAUGUGUGCGACACUGCAAGAAGGCUUAAUGGCAAAAGGAUUGGGUUGUGAGAGCCUUGACCCCAUCAGUGAAUCGAUACCCCUUAAGGGGUUAACCUGUGGAAACUGAGGGCAGGUGGGGUGUGGCUAGAGGAGGUGGGUCACUAG